This is a long non-coding RNA of Carassius gibelio (silver crucian carp), 1409 nucleotides long. RefSeq lists it as uncharacterized. The record is from RefSeq and is a predicted model, not a curated record. Lineage: Eukaryota; Metazoa; Chordata; Actinopteri; Cypriniformes; Cyprinidae. The transcript is spliced from 5 exons.
AGUGUUCGUAAAAGCAACAAUACAAAAAACACAAAGUGCCACUUUGUCCCACUAUUAUGUGCAGGCCUGGCAUUUUGCACUGGGCUAUAGAACUACAAAAUGAAUUUUAAAUUACCAAUAUCAUGAUUGAAUGACAUUUUGAAUCAUGUAGUGAUCUAAUUCUAUCCACCAAGCAAUUGUAUGUGAAUGUGUGAGACUUAUGGUCAUGGUUAUAGGGAAAUAACAAGAAGAACAAAGUGCAGUAAAAGGUAAAACUGUUUGCACUACAAACCAGUACGUUCAUAAUUAAGACAAUACAUUAAAAAUAACAUGGUAAGAUACAGCAGUUUGCAACAGUAAACGGCAAAACAAGCUGUUUGUACAGCUAAUAUAGCUGGAAUGACACCGAAAGCCAGACACAUUAAAUCUACAAAUGGCCGCGCCCCCUCUUACAGAAAAAAAAUAAGGGGCAUAUGUUUAUUCAUAUUUUUAUUUAUGUAACGUAAGCGUGUGACUUUUAAUUCGUGACGUGCUUUCAUGGGCGUGCGCGCGGACCGGAUGGAGUUGCCAUGGAAACGGAGCGCAACACUGCAAAUGUCACGGGGAAACACCCCGUUUCUCGCUGAUUUCACUGUUUUCAGAUGAGUUAAGUCCAUAAAAUCACACAAAUACUACUUAACUGUAUUAAUAACUGUUGUUGACACUUCUCUUACUUGUAUUUGACUCGAUUCUGUUGUUUAUUUACUUUAUAGGAAUGGUUUAAUGUCUUCGAAAAAGUCCGUUAGCGUUUCUACCGUUUUCAGACGACGUAUCGUCAGAAGGGAGUGUCCAAGAUUUCAAUAUUUCUGAAGGGAGCUGCUGACAGAGAUGUAGGAAGCGCUGAAGAGAUUCUUCAGUGCUGAUGGCCUGCUGCAUCCAGCAGAGUCGGAGUGAACCUACUGUAAGACAACAUCUCCAAGAUGCUAUUGACCACAAAACUAGUACAGGUUAUUAGAAACUGCACAGCACAGGACUUGCAGGACUUGUGAGGACUUCAGAUGAUACCAGUACUCAAAAGACCUUAGAUGAUGGCAACUAUAGAUGGACAUACAAACUACCGCCACUGCAAAAAAGAUUCUAAUUUGAAAGAAGUUUAUAAUGCAUGUUCGCUACUCCCAAUUCAGAAGACUGAAUCAGCCUGUGUAUCUGAAUGUUUCUCAUACUCACUCCUCUCUGCCGCGUCUGAAUAUAAACGUCAAAAUUAAAAGAAAUAAACAUUUGAAAUAUAUCAGUCUGUGUGUAAUGAAUACAUAUAAUAUACAAGUUUCACUUUUUGAAUGGAAUUAGUGAAAUAAAUCAACUUUUUGAUGAUAUUCUAAUUAUAUGACCAGCACCUGUAUAUCAUUGCUCUUUUGUUGAGUUUGAUUGCUUCCAUUGUCCUCAUUUGUAAG